ACAAAUUGAGAGUCAUGGCUGUACCUCUAUGAAUAAUGCCUGGAAUGCCAAAGGUUUAAAUGAGUUUAGACUUGAGAAAAGCAAUUAAAGAAAAAGAUCUUCAAUGAAAAGUUUCAACACUUGAAAAGAUAGAACAAGCAAUUUUAAGAAGGAAGUGAAGUCCGUUUUAAAGAGAUGGAGUCUUGCUUUUGCUCAGGCUG
This is a long non-coding RNA of Lemur catta (Ring-tailed lemur), 200 nucleotides long. RefSeq lists it as uncharacterized. The transcript is spliced from 3 exons. Lineage: Eukaryota; Metazoa; Chordata; Mammalia; Primates; Lemuridae. The record is from RefSeq and is a predicted model, not a curated record.